This is a long non-coding RNA of Oncorhynchus tshawytscha (Chinook salmon), 3974 nucleotides long. NCBI's taxonomy places the organism in Eukaryota, Metazoa, Chordata, Actinopteri, Salmoniformes, Salmonidae. The record is from Ensembl.
GCUGAUGUCUGGAACGCCAUCUGAUUGGUGGCGCUUGUUACCAUGGUCCUGCGUAAAACAGAAGCUGUGAUUUAUUUACAGAGGCAAUUGCUUGCCUUUCCCACAUUUUCCUGCUAUCCUAAACAGCUUCAGACUGUUGCUGGCGACGGUAACGUUACUUUAUGGCUUUCUUCGGGAUAACGAAUUUGGGCUAUCAAAACCCCAUCGGAGACAAUAUGUUAUUGAGUCCGAGAUCGUCUGCUUUUCCUGGUGAUGAGGUGGAUUCAAGGAGCUGGGCUAAACAGUCAGGACUGCCCUCCAUCCAAGUCCAGAGGGGACCCCCAAAAUGCACUGAUACCCCCUUCAGCCCAGACCUACACCAAGGUAGCCAGGGGCGAUACAGAGAGAUGCUCAAACGGGUUCAGAUACCAAGAUCCCCGAAUCAGCUGUACUCAGUGCCCCUGACAGACAGCCAGCAGUGUGGAUGGUGGAUGUCUAAUGGAGGCCAAGGAAAGAUGCAUGAACCCUGGACCCAAGUCAGACGAUUCGCCCGCAAGAACAGUGAGAUGACCAAGUUUGUGAAAGAGAUGUCAAUGACGGACCGAGAGUUCAGCUUAUUCUGAUUUCCACUCCUGCAGUAACAUACACACACACACAAAAUCCCAUCCAAAGACCUCUUAGACCUUUACACUGUAAGGACUAUUGUGGUUUAAUAAACUGGGACAUUUUCAUCAUAGCAUGUUAUUUAUUUUUGUGAGCUACUGUAUCAGGUUGUCAAUUGACCUCUGCCUUUCCACUGGUAAAAUUGAGCUGUUACCUCUCUCUAGAGGAAUACAAUUGUAAUGCCCAUGAGGAAAUAAGAGUAUAAGAGUAUUGUUUCAGUAAUUAGUUAUUGUUACUCAGUAAGGUCAUUCAUUCGACCUUGGGGAUAGUAACUGACUAUCUUCAAUCAGUUACGAUAUUAUGACUGAAAAGUGUCUAGCCAAAUAUUUGAUACGGCAUGUUUGUAUAUUUAGUAAAGCUUGUAUUUUGCAUACUUUCAGUACAUUAACUGAAUCAAUAAAAUGAUAACACGAGGAAAACAUUUACUUAUCUUUAACGUUUUUCUAAAUAAGCUAACAUUACAGUAUCAUUAAUAAUAUAUGAGGUCAAAGGAAUAUCCAGAUAUCACUUGCUUUCUGUCAGUACACUUUUGGCAGCAUAACCAGUUAUCCAUCACAUUUACCCCAUCCCCACCCUAACUCCUCCCUCAUCUUGUAGGCUCCUUCCCUGUGCUCGUGUACUGUAUGCAGUUUUCUUUAACUUGCUUGUCCCUUCCCAAUAUGCGUGUGUAAACUCCUGGAGUUUCUAUGUAAAUGUAAUGAUCUGUGAGAGAGGCACUCUACCUGAGAAACAAUGCUGUUUCUGAUUACAGGGUCAUUGAGUGAGUCAGUCAGCACUGAGCACACACACCAGUCUCAAUGGCGGGCUUGAACAAUUCAGAGGAUGUGGCUGUAACUACCUGGCGUCUGUCUGUACAUUGAGCACUGUAACUCCUUCAUGAUAGUGCAGGGAGAGACAAAGAUAUGAAUCCUCUCAUGUAUGAAAUGUAUCGGGUAUCUGGGACUGCUUGCUCUCACCUAAUAAUUUCAUUGGUCAGCAUCUGCUCAAUGACAAUCAGCCAAUGGUAAUCCUAGUUUUUACAACAGGUAAAGAAAGCCGCACACAUUAACAGCAAUCAACACAACAUAAAACAGCCAUUGUUUUUAUUUUUAAAAAAUCUUCAAGGGGAAAUGUUAUUUUGUCUGUCAUAGUCCUAAACUCUUUUUGUCCUUCACUUCAGGAAAAACGGUGCCUUCUGAACUCCUUCAACACGGGUAGAAAACAAAAAGAAGGGGGCCGGAUUCAUCAGGCUUGAGCAAAACACACUUUCAGUAGUUCUGGGACGACCCUCCUCCCCUCAUCUGUGCACUAAAAACAUCCCAAGAGUCAACAAUUAACAGCCACCCAACCCAAAGACAAGACAGCCCAUAGAAAUAGAAUAGAACGUGCAUCAUCUUACUAACCACGUCCAUUCUAUGUAUUCUAUUUCUAUGUUAAUCACUCUCGAUUGGGCACAACCUCAGUCAUUUAUUGACCCCAAGACCUUUACUUUUCCACGGCGGUCCCACACGCUCAAGGCCAAACAUCACUACACGGGAAGGGGCCAAUAACAUGAGGCUAUUAGCUUGCUUUGGGACGAACAUUAUCACCUUUUAGUGUCCAUAGUCAAGUGUGUUAUGAUGUUAUGGGAAAGUCAAAAUUAUCAAAAUAAAGUCAGUGUUGAGUCAAUGCUAAGGUCAGUAAAUUAUUUCCAUUAGCUUUCACAGGCUGUCUAUCCUUCCCUCGAUUUCUCUGCCUCUGUGAAACUCAGUUCCUCUUCCCACUGUAUUCUCCAGUGGCUUGUUCAAUUAAGACAGUUCUAAUACUGCUCACACUGCUGAUUGUGUUCUGUCUCUCUGAGGAGGGCCCUGAAAUCUGAUAGGGAUGGGAUCAGUGCAUAACCUGACUGAGCUUAGUCCUGCAGUAGUGUUUGCUCAAUGAAAAGGUACAGUGUACAAUCUGUAUAUCUGUGGAAAAGCGACAUCUAAUGAGUAUGUGUGAUCAAAUCUAGGGCCAGUGUUUGAAAUACUGUAGUUGGCUGCAGUUGAUCAGUUGGUACCAUUGAGCUUGAGCUUUUACGUCUGGCAUUUUACAAGAAAGCGUUCUGCCCUUUGAUCCUUAUCGUUGGAAUGGAAUCAUCAUAAUAAGCGUAAUAAUUCAUCAUAAUAACAACAACCAUAAGGUUAAUACAAAUUAUGAAUACAGAGGUGAUAAAAAAAUACUCAACGUUAAAACAAACAGAAUCGAAAACAGGAUACCACAAUCAGACAUGCUUUAAAGCAGUUAAGUUAGGCAAAAAAGCAGUUUAAAGUAUAAAAACCUCACAGUGAAAAUAGUUAUGCCCCUUCAAGAUUACAAAGCACAGUAUUCAGCCUAAUAUAUAUAUAUAUAUUAUAUAUAUAUAUAUAUUUCCUUCUUUCUUUAGAAAAUACUUGUUAGCGAUUCAAACUUAGGCGGCUGUCCGGUACCACUGUAUUUAAUGCCCAGGCUUUCCCCUCUGGUUCUGGAACAUCUUAGGCGGCUGUCUGGUACCACUGUAUUUAAUGCCCAGGCUUUCUCCUCUGGUUCUGGAACAUCGUAGGUGGCUGUCCGGUACCACUGUAUUUAAUGCCCAGGCUUUCCCCUUGGUUCUGGAACAUCUUAGGCGGCUGUCUGGUACCACUGUAUUUAAUGCCCAGGCUUUCCCCUCUGGUUCUGGAACAUCUUAGGCGGCUGUCUGGUACCACUGUAUUUAAAUCCCAGACUUUCCCCUCUGGUUCUGGAACAUCUUAGGCGGCUGUCUGGUCCACUGUAUUUAAUGCCCAGGCUUUCCCCUCUGUACCACUGUAUUUAAUGCCCAGGCUUUCCCCUCUGGUUCUGGAACAUCUUAGGCGGCUGUCUGGUACCACUGUAUUUAAUGCCCGGCUUUCCCCUCUGGUUCUGGAACAGCUUAGGCGGCUGUCCGGUACCACUGUAUUUAAUGCCCCGGUUUCCCCUCUGGUUCUGGAACAUCUUAGGCCGCUGUCCGGUACCACUGUAUUUAAUGCCCAGGCUUUCCCCUCUGGUUCUGGAACAUCUUAGGCGGCUGUCCGGUACCACUGUAUUUAAUGCCCAGGCUUUCCCCUCUGGUUCUGGAACAUCUUAGGUGGCUGUCCGGUACCCAUGUAUUUAAUGCCAGGCUUUCCCCUCUGGUUCUGGAACAUCUUAGGCGGCUGUCCGGUACACUGUAUUUAAUGCCCAGGCUUUCCCCUCUGGUUCUGGAACAGUUAGGCGCCUGUCCGGUACCACUGUAUUUAAUGCCCAGGCCUGGUUCUGGAACAUCUUAGGCGGCUGUCCGUACCACUGUAUUUAAUGCCCAGGCUUUCCCCUCUGGUUCUGGAACAUCUUAGGCGCCU